Molecule: ribosomal RNA, 433 nt
Filed under: uncultured bacterium
Lineage: Bacteria
Description: partial 16S ribosomal RNA
Rfam family: Bacterial small subunit ribosomal RNA
Source: RNAcentral
AACGAACGCUGGCGGCAUGCCUAACACAUGCAAGUCGAACGAGACCUUCGGGUCUAUUGGCGCACGGGUUCGUAACGCGUGGGAACCUUCCCUUAUGUUCGGAAUAACUCCCCGAAAGGGGUGCUAAUACCGGAUCAUGUCUUCGGACCAAAGAUUUAUCGCCUUUGGAUGUGCCCGCGUUGGAUUAGCUAGUUGGUAGGGUAAAAGCCUACCAAGGCGACGAUCCAUAGCUGGUCUGAGAGGAUGCUCAGCCACACUGGGACUGGGACACGGCCCAGACUCCUACGGGAGGCAGCAGUGGGGAAUAUUGGACAAUGGGCGAAAGCCUGAUCCAGCAAUGCCGCGUGAGUGAUGAAGGCCUUAGGGUUGUAAAGCUCUUUUACCCGGGAUGAUAAUGACAGUACCGGGAGAAUAAGCUCCGGCUAACUCCGUG